This 72-nucleotide transfer RNA is filed under the name Chloroflexota bacterium. RNAcentral describes it as "Chloroflexi bacterium tRNA-Met". It matches the Rfam family "tRNA". From Rfam's summary of the family: Transfer RNA (tRNA) molecules are approximately 80 nucleotides in length. Their secondary structure includes four short double-helical elements and three loops (D, anti-codon, and T loops). Lineage: Bacteria; Bacillati; Chloroflexota. RNAcentral also lists the same sequence under 2 other names. The record is from RNAcentral.
CGCGGGGUGGAGCAGCGGUAGCUCGACGGGCUCAUAACCCGUAGGUCAGACGUUCGAAUCGUCUCCCCGCAA